Molecule: long non-coding RNA, 520 nt
Organism: Trifolium pratense (red clover)
Lineage: Eukaryota; Viridiplantae; Streptophyta; Magnoliopsida; Fabales; Fabaceae
Exons: 3
Source: RefSeq, a predicted model, not a curated record
CUAAGAAUGAUGAGUGUGUAUGUAUAAUAUAUAUUGAAUUUAGGUAAAUAAAUUCCCUAAGAAAGCAAACGAAGCGUAGCAGGCAGGAUGAGCGACCACGACCAGCAGCAGGAGGUGUUUGAUGACCUACCUCGGUCCCUCGUUCUCUUGGAACUCAUCGCAGGAAUGAUUUUACCUCCCUUCGUCAUAACUGGAUUUAGUUACAAUAUGGUCCUCCUCAGUCCUCAUCAUGCACGAGGUCAAUUUGAAUAGUGAUUUACAGCGGAGCUUUAAUCAGUCGUCGAGUCAUUGAGGUGUGAUCAGUUAGAGAACCAGUCUGUGCACAAGAUGGUGUUAACUCCAAUAGCUAUGUUUUAGUAUGGACUUCUGUGUGGAAACCUUUGUGAUGUUUGAAUGUGAUGUAUAGAAUGCUAACUCCAAUAACUUUAAUUUAAAACUAUGAAUUUUAAUAGUUUGUGUUAUACUAAUAUAGUGCUCUUAACUAUGACAGUUGAAAAUUUUGUAAUAGUCAUAAUGUCUC